RNAcentral lists this small nuclear RNA (160 nucleotides) under Mandrillus leucophaeus (drill). RNAcentral's name for it is "U1 spliceosomal RNA (ENSMLEG00000005603.1)". It matches the Rfam family "U1 spliceosomal RNA". From Rfam's summary of the family: U1 is a small nuclear RNA (snRNA) component of the spliceosome (involved in pre-mRNA splicing). Lineage: Eukaryota; Metazoa; Chordata; Mammalia; Primates; Cercopithecidae. The record is from Rfam by way of RNAcentral.
AGACUUGGCAGGGGAGAUAGCAUGAUCACAAAGGUGGUUUUCCCAGGGCGAAAUUUAUUCACUGCGCUCUGGAUGUGCUGACCUCUAUGACUUCCACCCAAGGGGGAAGCUUGACUGCUUAGUUUGUUGUAGCAGGCGACUGUGUUCACACUUUCUCUGG